GUCCGCGCUGCCGCGCCCGUCGCGCCUGCCCGCGCCGCGCCGCGCCCUCCGACCUCCAUCUGUGUACUCGGUGGCACCGGCGGGGGAAAUGGAUCAUUACUGACAAAACGCCUGUUGUGCCAAUUUCCUGGGCAUAUAGUCCGAUGUAUAAUUAAAAAUUUAACGUUUAACUAAAUUAAUACGACUGAUAUACGAAAAUCGGUAUCUUUUUUAUUAAACAUUUGAACCGUUUUAUUCGUAACAUUUUUCUAAGUAAUAUACGUCAAGGAAUGUUGACAGUAUUGUUUCUAGAAGGUACCAUUUGAGAUUUUCAUAAACUACCAGUUGUUAUUGUCUGUAGUAACAAUAUUGUUAAUGUACCGUUAUGUUAGUGAUUAACUUAAUUCUUUAUACAUUUUUCAUUAUUUAUCUAAAAAAAUUUUGAACAUUAAUUUAUGUAAAAAGGAUUUAACUUGUCUAUGGCCAAUAUUCAAAUAAUGUAAUAUAAAAAUAAUCUAAUAAUUAACGCAUUGAAAUAAAUGCUUCCAGUGAGCUAUAAAAUAAUUUUAAUAAAUGUUAUUGUGGAAAUCAAUUGGCAAUAAAAAGACGUUCCUGACAUACCUAAAAAUUUUUAAAAAUACGCAAAUCAGGAGGUUCUGGUGUAACCUUCAACUGACAUUUAUUUUUGACGUUUUUGUACAUUCACACAUUAAAUAUAAUUUCUAUUUUGGACAUUCAAAAUUUUUCAUGUAAAAAUUUUGGUUAUGUCGUUUAAUUGAGGUAGGGAAUUCCACUUUUCAGUCUGAAAAGUUUUAUAUUUCGACCUCCUAGUAUUUUAAGUGGCGCUCUCUUUUUAUAUUAAUAUUCGGACUCGCUCAAAAUUCCAAAUUUUCACCUGAAUUUAAAAUUUGGUACAAAGACAUACAAAUUAAGAUAUUAAUUAUUUCUAUGUUGUAUACAAAUAUAGUAUGUAGUAACGAACGACCACUUCAGGUUAGUUAUUUAUUUCAUAUUAAGACAGUUUUGCAUUUUUUAGAGAUUGUAAUCAUGUAGGGACG
RNAcentral lists this unclassified non-coding RNA (1037 nucleotides) under Melitaea cinxia (Glanville fritillary). RNAcentral describes it as "misc RNA ENSMCXG00005012545.1". The record is from RNAcentral. Lineage: Eukaryota; Metazoa; Arthropoda; Insecta; Lepidoptera; Nymphalidae.